RNAcentral lists this ribosomal RNA (886 nucleotides) under uncultured bacterium. RNAcentral's name for it is "bacterial SSU rRNA". It matches the Rfam family "Bacterial small subunit ribosomal RNA", at positions 41 to 916 of the family's 1533-position model. The record is from RNAcentral.
GCCAUGCCUUUACCCAUGCAAGUCGAACGGCAGCACGGGAGCAAUCCUGGUGGCGAGUGGCGAACGGGUGAGUAAUAUAUCGGAACGUGCCCAGUCGUGGGGGAUAACGCAGCGAAAGCUGUGCUAAUACCGCAUACGAUCUAUGGAUGAAAGCGGGGGACUCGCAAGAGCCUCGCGCGAUUGGAGCGGCCGAUAUCAGAUUAGCUAGUUGGUGGGGUAAAAGCCCACCAAGGCGACGAUCUGUAGCUGGUCUGAGAGGACGACCAGCCACACUGGAACUGAGACACGGUCCAGACUCCUACGGGAGGCAGCAGUGGGGAAUUUUGGACAAUGGGCGCAAGCCUGAUCCAGCAAUGCCGCGUGCAGGAUGAAGGCCUUCGGGUUGUAAACUGCUUUUGUACGGAACGAAACGGCUCCUAUUAAUACUAGGGGCUAAUGACGGUACCGUAAGAAUAAGCACCGGCUAACUACGUGCCAGCAGCCGCGGUAAUACGUAGGGUGCGAGCGUUAAUCGGAAUUACUGGGCGUAAAGCGUGCGCAGGCGGUUAUAUAAGACAGAUGUGAAAUCCCCCCGGGCUCAACCUGGGACCUGCAUUUGUGACUGUAUAGCUAGAGUACGGUAGAGGGGGAUGGAAUUCCGCGUGUAGCAGUGAAAUGCGUAGAUAUGCGGAGGAACACCGAUGGCGAAGGCAAUCCCCUGGACCUGUACUGACGCUCAUGCACGAAAGCGUGGGGAGCAAACAGGAUUAGAUACCCUGGUAGUCCACGCCCUAAACGAUGUCAACUGGUUGUUGGUGGAGUAAAAUCCAUGAGUAACGCAGCUAACGCGUGAAGUAGACCGCCUGGGGAGUACGGUCGCAAGAUUAAAACUCAAAGGAAUUGACGG